RNAcentral lists this long non-coding RNA (1151 nucleotides) under Nicotiana benthamiana. Its description in RNAcentral is "long non-coding RNA (NBEN_LNC005798)". The record is from RNAcentral. Lineage: Eukaryota; Viridiplantae; Streptophyta; Magnoliopsida; Solanales; Solanaceae.
AUAUUUUGUGAAGAAUUCAUGAAUAGCAAAAAAUACUCAAAGACCAGAUAUGUCAAUACGAUGUAGCAUAUAUAAGUUGUUAUUUUUGAUUUCUUAUAAAUUUGGUAAAUAAAAUGUUCCUUUCAAGACAUACCUUAUAAUUUUGUAAACUAUAUGGUGCCCAUCCAAAUGCAAAUAUUCAGGCACUUUCAAUUGAUCAAUGAUGCGUAAGUAAUAAAAUAGCCGGUCGAUGACAAAACAUAAAAAUGAGAAUUGAAUUUGUUGUUAUUUCAAAGCGAUCCAUAAGAUCUUAAAGAAAGGAUUGCCUAUACGUCUUUCUAGCGUACGCGCGGUUCCUUUUGACUGGAGCCUGUCGCUACCUGGAUCAAUCAGCCUAUUCUAGUUCGCCUUGUGUCAUCCGAUUUUAGGGAAUUCAUUGGAUCGUGAAGUUGCUUCACACCUGGCCAUAUCGAGGGAAUGAAAAUGAACUUGUCCCUAAAAAAAGAAAUCAGCCUAUUCUAGUUCGCCUUGUGUCAUCCGAUUUUAGGGUAUUCAUUGGAUCGUGAAGUUGCUUCACACCCGGCCAUUCAACAUUUAACUCCAGUUACGACUUCCUCUCGGCCGGGCAUCUUCUCUCUUGCUUCGCUUGAGUUUCUCACUGUGGACCAAUUUCUAUCGCUUCACUCUCCACUUCCUUAUUCCUUCUUUUCAUCGGAAACCCAUUAGUGCUUUACUUUCUUUAUUAGUAGGCUAAUAGGGAGGUCUAUGAAAUGUAUACGAAAAGGAUGAUAUGGACCAAUUUCUAUCACUUCACUCUCCACUUCCUUAUUCCUUCUUUUCAUCGGAAACCCAGCAGAUCCCAAGAGCAUCAGUUGCAUACUUGCAGCGACCAAUUUCCGAUAUCCAAAAAUUUGAAACUUGGGAGAGAAGGAUUAGGAAUCACCAAAAAAUCAUCUCAUAGUCGUUCAUAAAAUUGAUCAAAAGAAAAAAGCUUCACCAUUCACUACAAGAAAAAAGCUUCACCAUUUAACCUGUGGCAAAUCACCAGUACAUGAAAAUCUAGUAAUGAGUGGACUGCCAAAGAAGACAGAAAGAUGUUAAUAUACAACUAAGUUAGAAGUUGCGUUUUCUAUGACUUUUGGAUUUUGUUGGUUAUUACUUAUUAAUGAGGU